Molecule: ribosomal RNA, 97 nt
Filed under: uncultured bacterium
Lineage: Bacteria
Description: partial 16S ribosomal RNA
Source: RNAcentral
CCCAGGCCUUGUACACACCGCCCGUCACAUCAUGAAAGCCGGUUGCACCGAAGUCGCCCCUCAAAAGGUGCCGAAGGUAUGGCUGGUGAUUGGGAUG